This 429-nucleotide ribosomal RNA is filed under the name Chloroflexota bacterium. RNAcentral describes it as "Chloroflexi bacterium partial 16S ribosomal RNA". It matches the Rfam family "Bacterial small subunit ribosomal RNA", at positions 355 to 776 of the family's 1533-position model. The record is from RNAcentral. Lineage: Bacteria; Bacillati; Chloroflexota.
UGGGGAAUAUUGCACAAUGGGCGCAAGCCUGAUGCAGCCAUGCCGCGUGUAUGAAGAAGGCCUUCGGGUUGUAAAGUACUUUCAGUCGGGAGGAAGGUGGUAAGGUUAAUAACCUUGGCAAUUGACGUUACCGACAGAAGAAGCACCGGCUAACUCCGUGCCAGCAGCCGCGGUAAUACGGAGGGUGCAAGAGUUAAUCGGAAUUACUGGGCGUAAAGCGCACGCAGGCGGUUGAUUGAGUCAGAUGUGAAAUCCCCGGGCUUAACCCGGGAAUUGCAUCUGAUACUGGUCAGCUAGAGUCUUGUAGAGGGGGGUAGAAUUCCAUGUGUAGCGGUGAAAUGCGUAGAGAUGUGGAGGAAUACCGGUGGCGAAGGCGGCCCCCUGGACAAAGACUGACGCUCAGGUGCGAAAGCGUGGGGAGCAAACAGG